GUUUCAGCGCUAAUUCACUCGAACUCCACUGGCACCGGGCUCUUCUGCCAGGUCCCCCAGGGGACCGUCCUCUACUUACAGGGCCACGAGGCACAGGAAGGCGACGAGGAGCAGCCAGGUCUCUUGAAGUGCUGUGUCUCUCCAGAUCCUCAGAUUUGAGAAAAUCGUAGUUGAUAAAAUGUCCACCUCCCAGUCAAAAUUGCUGCCAUGACUCAGAGCUGCAGAGCUGUAGCUGACCUGACUGUGUUUAGUUUACUUCUCGAGGCCAGAUGCUCAGUGGGUGAAAAGCACAACCAACCACCCUGGAAUAACAGAGCUGCCCUGGUUUUCCCCCGUUGGGAUCUAGUCCUGCCUCCCCAACAUCUGCACGUUUGUGGGAACUGAUUAACAACUGCUACAACACUGCUGGGGAGGGGACAAAGGCAUAAAAAAUAUUGGCCUCAUAAGGAUUUCUGUUUCUGCGUGGGCUUUGACUCUCCCAUACUAAGGAUCUGAGGAAGUUUAUUGCUGCAAAAUAAUAAAAUA
Vidua chalybeata is the source of this 525-nucleotide long non-coding RNA. RefSeq lists it as uncharacterized. The transcript has 3 exons. Lineage: Eukaryota; Metazoa; Chordata; Aves; Passeriformes; Viduidae. The record is from RefSeq and is a predicted model, not a curated record.